Molecule: long non-coding RNA, 88 nt
Organism: Nanorana parkeri
Lineage: Eukaryota; Metazoa; Chordata; Amphibia; Anura; Dicroglossidae
Exons: 3
Source: RefSeq, a predicted model, not a curated record
UAAUACUAUAGAAUGUGACAGCUUUGAGUCUGCUGGGACUGCUGACAUCAUAUUGAAGAUGGCGGCACCCACCAGCAGCCUCGGGCUU